GUCUAUGGCCAUGCCACACUGAACAAGCCCAAUGUCUGAUCUCGGAAGCUAAGCAGGGUCGGGCCUGGUUAGUACUUGGAUGGGAGACCACCUAGGAAGACCAGGUGCUGUAGGCG
Molecule: ribosomal RNA, 116 nt
Filed under: Pteropus alecto (black flying fox)
Lineage: Eukaryota; Metazoa; Chordata; Mammalia; Chiroptera; Pteropodidae
Source: RNAcentral